GGCAUGUUUCAAACUUCCACAGAUUUCUUGGCUUCAUUAUCAGGAGAAGUAUGCGAUCCCAUAGGUAAUGUUCAGUAAGAGAUGUAUCUGUCCUGCCCCGUCUCAGACUGAUCACGUUCUGCCCUCUGUCUCCUUGGCUGUAGGGCUCCUCUUCACUGGCUGUGAACUCCUUAAGUAAGGUUCCUGAUGUUCAUGUUUGUAAUUGCUGCCCACUCUGAGGCUAGCUCCUUCCUGCAAUGGCCCAAGACUGUAAUUACAGGUUGGAUUGGUUGGAAGUUGGUUGCUCUCUACCAUGUAGGGGAAAGGUCAAGACUAUGAACAUUGCUCUUCAUCAGACGCCUUACUGGAAGCAGAGAGGAAGGAUGAGGGUUCCUGUGGUAAUCUCAUGAUUCUCUAGAAGCAGGUGCUCUCCUACCCUCAUUCUGUUUGAGGGAGCCUGGUCAGCUGCUUGGAGUCCAAGAGCUAGCGGGAGAGGAGACAGUCUGAAAGCAGGAACCAUCAGAAGUCAUCCUUAGUGCCCAUAACAUAGUACCCCUCACCAGGACACUGCUCUGUCUGACACUGAAGUAUUGGCAGGGUCGGGCAAGGUGCCAACAAGUGGGUUUUGUCUAUCCCUAAAUGAUGACUGCUUGAGAUCUCACCUGCUCUGCCUUCCUUCCUGAGAUUCCAAGAGAAAUUGCUUGGAAGUGUAUUAAAUGCAAACUAAGUCAGAUGUAA
Molecule: long non-coding RNA, 717 nt
Filed under: Rattus norvegicus (Norway rat)
Lineage: Eukaryota; Metazoa; Chordata; Mammalia; Rodentia; Muridae
Description: long non-coding RNA NONRATT022395
Source: RNAcentral